AACCAAAAGCGCGAAUGGAGAAAUUAUUUGCAAACAUUGUCCGCAACAUAGAAGAUAGAGAUGAAAGAGUUCCAUCAAUUGCAUCUUAUUAAUGAAUGAAUGAGACUAACCGUCCACCUCGUCAACAUCGUCAUAGACGUGGUUUUAGGUCUUACAAACUUGAUGAGUAUGUCAAGGAGCUUGAACAUAUGAACUAUGAGAAAAUUGUAUUUUUAAUUUACUAAUUUGUCUUUUAUUUCUUAUGUAAUGUUGGACUUACGAGGACUUGCCUAACAUCUGUAAACGAGGUGAUUAUGGAAGGUUUCCUGAACAUACUCCAAGAGCCUAUAGGUGGUCCACAAAACAUAUUGUUGAAAGCGGGUUGCUAACUUAUGAGUGGAGACUUAAUGAUAUUUUGCUUGAGAAUGCUGUAUUUACCCCCAUACGAUGGUGACCGAGUCAAUCAUCCUUUUGAACCAAUGACGAUGCUCUUUAACUACGUUGGCUCGGGUGGAGUUUUAGUCCCAUUUCUACCUGAGCGAUAUAUUUGACAAUUUAGCCGCCUUACGUGCAUUUCGCGUGACGUUCCUUUGGUGACAACUAGUAUAGAUUGAAAGUGGUAUAAUAUUUUGAGAGCAUGUAUAACGACCCUUCAGAGUUUUUAGUCUGUUGUGACGUUUUCUGGUGAGGUAUUUGAGAACUAUUAUGUCUGGUAAUUUGAUGUUUCACAUCAUCUGAUCUUCCCCGAUGCUCCACCUGCUACUCCACCUACCACCCCACAUGUUCCAUCAUCUUCAUCACAAGCUAGUUCAUCUUCUACACGAUACACUAGAGCAUCUGAGCUUUUACAGAGGGUCAUAUUGAUGGCGAAGUUCUUGUGAUAUUAAGUGAGUUACUCACAUAUUUCAGGGAUACCAUUAGUAGAUUGUGUUAAUAUAUUUUGCACUAUGAAUAUAAUUCUCGUUAUGGUAUAUGUUUAUUUUCGGUCAAUUAUGCAACUACUAUUUUAUUUCUCCAAAAUAAACAAAUAACAGACACAAAGCUUCACGGCUACAAACUAAUCUUCAUUUAAUGAAACACAAGAUGAUUUGAUAAAUGUUGGAUCUAUGUUUUCCAAUGCUUGAGACGUCCUGCAUAAGCUAUUUCUCACGCCUUCACAUCAUCACUACAAAAGUCUCUCCAUUUCUGUGUGGUAAGUGGCAGAGGACAACCAAACUUCAUUUUUAUCUGCGCCAAUAAAGUAUUAAAAAUUAGUUUACUUUUUAACGUUACUUUACUAUUAAACAUUACUUUACCAUAAAUUUUACCCGUACCCAAUUAUCUUCAUUGACAAAUUCAAUUGCUAUUAAAGAAUUAUGAAAAGAAUCCCUUGAUGGUGGUUCAGUCAACGAAAAAAAUGUCAUAUUCAAAUUAGAGACAAUGACACCAGAACAAUAUUAUAUCUUGUCGUUAUCACAUAAUCCAUCUCUGAUAUAGUCAUCCACUUUUCUUUUUCUUGAACACCCAAACUAAAUAUCUUCAAUGAGUUCCACACUUUUUCAAUAUUGUCAUAGAAAACAUUGAAAUAAAGAUUUUGAUGUAGAUUGAUCUCCUUUUCUAAAUGUGUCUAAACUAAGGGACACAGUUCUUCACUCUAACCUCAUAAUGUUGCAACUACAUGAUAACCACAAUUUCCAUUAUGCUGGACAUCUACUAUGUCAUCAAUAUACUAAUGAAUACAAAUAGUAAAUGUAUCUUAGAUGAUUGCUUUGCAGAACGCUGAUAUGGUUGCUUUGCAGAAUGCUGAGAUGACUGCUUUUGAUAUCUUUGAGAAGUAUCAACGCACUCCCAAUAUGUGGUGGAUACAUUAUUGUUGUAUGUGGAAAUAAAAGUUCAUGCACCUUUGACAUGAAUAUUCUUUGACCAAAAAUAUUUUGUGUCUUCAUGUGUU
Cicer arietinum (chickpea) is the source of this 1909-nucleotide non-coding RNA. NCBI's taxonomy places the organism in Eukaryota, Viridiplantae, Streptophyta, Magnoliopsida, Fabales, Fabaceae. The record is from RefSeq and is a predicted model, not a curated record.